Pangasianodon hypophthalmus (striped catfish) is the source of this 4132-nucleotide long non-coding RNA. RefSeq lists it as uncharacterized. Lineage: Eukaryota; Metazoa; Chordata; Actinopteri; Siluriformes; Pangasiidae. The transcript has 5 exons. The record is from RefSeq and is a predicted model, not a curated record.
UCAGGGUUGCAUCACCUCAAUGCUCAAACAAUCACAUUGCCACAUCUGUCAUUGCAGUCAUGCAGUACGGUUAAUCUGAACAAACUUGAUACCCCAUGAUUGCAACUUCUCCUGCAACUCACUUACCAGUGAUAUCAUCACCACAGUUUACAAUAGUAUUUAAGGCAAGGAUCACAGAUUAAUAUACAGUUAGACAGAAAAAAGAAGGGUUUUUUUUUGCUGUGUUUGUUUUAAUUUAAUUUAAUUGAUUUACCCUCAGACACAGACGUGCCACGUGGAUUUGUGUAAAACCCAGACAAACACAUAAUGAAGUGUUUCUGGAAGACAGAAACAUUCCCUAAUGUUCCAUAACAGGCCUUCACUUUACGGAUACACAUGUUGAAGGAAUUCACACAGUUUCUGUCACUCUUCCUCAUUUCUAAAUUUCUGAGCAAGGCUUUACCCAUAAUUCAAGCUAUGUUAACUAUGAAUAAAAACAGAGACAGAAACAGAGACUUUCAGUUUUUGUUUAUAAAUCGCUGGGAAAAUCCCUGCAGACACUCAAAUUUAAUGAUGUAACAACUGAAACUCGGGAAGGUCAUUCAGCGGCAAAAACAUACUGACAAGUUUGUAGUUAUCUUCUUGUGUCCAUUUUAAAUACUGCUACAUUUAUUCUGUGUGAUACGUCAUAAGCACAAACACAUGAUCACAUCAUGCAGCUUGACCAAUCAUAUCGCACAGUCAUGUGCUUCUCACACACAGGCAGAUAGACAGACAACUAUAGUACACCUGAGAGCUGAUCAUAUAAUGUAUAAUGGAGCUAAUAACUCCUCAGUCACUUACGCUGCUGUUUUACAUUCUUAGAUCAUGUCAUCCCAGUCACAUCUCUCUGCCUCUCUCUCUCUCUCUCUCUCUCUCUCUGUUACUUUCUCUCUGUCUCAAUCUGUAUCCUUGUCUUUGUCUUUCUAUCUAUUACUGUUGAUGUGUUAAAAUAAAAAAUGGACUGCUAAAAUGAAGCAGCACAUCAUAUUAUAGGUUGGCAAAACUGAUAAAUAUUGUUUCCAACUCUCCAUUCAUGGCCACAUCUUACAAUUUUGUCACGUUUUUACUUUGCUAAAAGAUACAGCUGUGUUUCUUGUCUGGAAUCUAAACUCAAAAGGACUGAUUCUCAUACAGCAGCACAACAAACACUACAUAUAAGCAACACGGCUUAUAUGACGGCUCAGUGGCUAAGGCUUUUUGGGCUUCUGAUUGGAAAAUUGUGAAUUCAAAUCCCAGCACAUAGAUCAAGGCAUUUAACCCUUAACUGCUCCGUCAUAUCUUCUCUUAAUUGUUGCUUUGUACAGCGGUGACUGCCAAAUGAAUAAAUGUAAAAGCAGCUGAUAAAUGUACCAGUCAGUCAACGCUAGUGUUUGUUGGUGUGUAAUGUGUAAUGGGUGUAUAUAGGGGUCCAGUGCUUGUAUAACUACAAGACAUAAACUAUUCUUGUGACUGAACGUUUGGGAGACUCUGGGAGCACUUUCCAGCUGGCAGGUGGCCAAACAUGCUUUAGAAAAAGUGCUCUGCUGGGAAAGAAGCAGAAGCCAGGAAUGAAAGAACAUGAUUUUCCAUAACAAUGCCUUAGAGAGUUCAUUUAUUCAUAUUCAGCAAGUGCUGUGUCCUGGAACACUGAGGGUGAGCUAGGAAAAGACCCUGAAUUUGAUGCCAGUCCAUUCCAGGGCAGCAUUCACACUCCCAUUCGUGAAAACAUCUGAAACACAUCAAGACAGUAAAAAGAUCAGGAUUGAACUGGGGAUUCUGGAGCCAUUGUCUCUGUCUAUCUAUCUAUCUAUCUAUCUAUCGUCAGGUACGUAAGUAUUUGGACCAUAUACCAUACAUACCAUUUUGCCUCUGUACACCACCAUAAUGGAUUUGAAAUGAAGCAAUCAAGAUGUGAUUCAAGUGUAGAUUUUCAGCUUUAAAUCAAGGGGUUUAAAAACUGUUUCAUUAACCAUUUAGGAAUUACAGCCAUUUUUUUUACAGAGUCCUUCUUUUUUCACUUCGAGAACUGACUUCACUUGCUGCCUAAUAUAUCCCACCCUUUGACAGAUACCAUUCUAACAAGAUAGUCAAUGUAUAUUCACGUCACCAUUCAGUGGUUUAAUGUUACGGCUGAUCGGUGUAUAUAUGCAUGUAUAAGUCAUAUAUUUUCAUAUACAUAUAAGUAUAAGUACAUACAUAUAAGUAUGUAUUUUCUAGAAUCAGCUGAACUGUGAAAAUUCAUUGAUGCUAUUGUUUUGUUUUAGGCCAUAACUCACAGGGAAACCCCCUGCCCAUGCCAGUUCACAGCAGUUCCUUCAGUGCCAAAAGCAUAUCAAAUGAUUUGUGUUUUCUCUCUGAUGUGUGACUGCUUUGUGGUCCUCUCUUAAAUAGUGCUAAAUUUGUACCAUGUGCUACGUCACUCACACAAGCACAGGAUUGCAUCAUGCAACUUGACCAAUCACAUCCCAAGCCUACAUGUACUUUCCUUCUUACAGACAAACAGCUAGGAGUCCAUGUCUCCUGUUUCAAGUUGAGGAUUGUUUAUAUAUACAGGAGCUAAUGAUUCAUCAGGCACAGAUGUUGUACAUUCCUAAACAGCACUGGAUCUUUUAGAACUUAGUCAUAUGUGGGUUGCACUCUCUUCUUACAUUCCUACACCUUUUAAAACAUGCAGACUCUUAUAGGUUCUAUGUUUGUCCAGAGAGUCCUUGAAGGUAUGUAGAACCCUAAAACAGUGUGUUUCGCUAUUCGAAAUGACUUCAGGUAAAACCCUUUUUAGGAGGGUUUAGGUGUCCUUCAGAACCCUUUUUUCCAACAGUGUACCAAAUACCAAGAUACUCAAUUUUAAAAGACAGGUUCUAGGUAUUGAAAAAAUAUAAUGGCCAGUAAUUUGGGAAACACCCUGUUGUGCUGUCUGUUCCUCUAAGAGGUGGGUCAUGGGGAUUCACAGGCAUAGAAUGUUGUGGUGAACUGGGAUGUUUGGAUGCUGUCACCCUCCCACUCUCCUGUGUUCACUCAGGUUUGUCGACGGUGGAGUCGCUGGCCGCUUUAUGUCCCAGGGUCUGUGUUACCUUCUGGCAUCUCCCUUUUAGUUAUUCUGUCACAGCGAGUCUUGCCGGAGUCCCUGUAUGCAAAGGACAUUGUCCUUAACCAUUACGGGACAAAAGCUUACCUAACAAUCUCUCUCCCUCUCUCUCCCUAUCGAGCUACACACACUUCUCCUGAGAUACCAGUGAUCUUGACCUCUUCUACUCUCCGGACCUGCCUGAUCCAUCCUGAUGCCCUACUUGUCGUUGGAGUUCUCAUCAGAUGAGAUUGGUCGCUGCUGCUGGGGGUGGACCCACAUGCACGGCCUGAAGAUCAUUGGGAUUGCUGGGGAUGGUGCUGCUUGCGGGUCGUGAAGAUGGCACUCAGGUCUCCAUCAGUGGACAGUGGAUAUGUUCAACAAACCGGACUUCAGAACCCUUAGUUCUUCACUUAAAGGCUCUGCGUAGGACCCUACAACAAAGUGUUUACCAAUCAGGUUCCAAGUAAAACCAUUUUGUAAGGCUUGGCACUAGCACUGGAAGUGCACUGUCACGUUCAACCCCAGAGGCUGUGGUUGGUUCUCUGGCUGGGAAUCGAGCCCAGGCUGCAGCAGUGAGAGGGCCAUGGCCUAACUACUAGUCCUCCAGGGACAUCUAGGUGUGUCCUGUUAGAUUGAUUGUUCAUCAUGCAGCAAGACAACGAACCAAAACACACUGCCAACACAACAAAGGACUUCAUCGGGGGAAAAAGUGGAAGAUUUUAGACAGGCCAAGUCAAUCACCAGACCUUAACCCAACUGAGCAGCAUUUCGCCUCCUGAAGAGGAGACUGAAGGGAGAAACUUCCCAAAACAAACAACAACUGAAACAAGCUGGCUACAAGCCUGGAAAAGCAUCAGAGAAGAAGAAUGCAACAGCUUGGUGAUGUCAGUAGUCACCAGCUUGAUGAAAUCAUUACAACCAAAUAAUCUCCGUGUCCUGGUCACCAGCGCCCUAGUCACAGACUCGUCACCAGCUGCAUCUGUCCAUCGCCUUCUCCGUGGGAGGAGUCUAUCCCCAGCCGACCCUCCUCAUUGGUUCGGCGUGAUGGGGGCUGGUAGAAGGCAG